Molecule: non-coding RNA, 26 nt
Filed under: Cricetulus griseus (Chinese hamster)
Lineage: Eukaryota; Metazoa; Chordata; Mammalia; Rodentia; Cricetidae
Source: RNAcentral
AGACUAGGCUAGCCUCGAACUCACAG